RNAcentral lists this ribosomal RNA (765 nucleotides) under Triticum aestivum (bread wheat). Its description in RNAcentral is "partial small subunit ribosomal RNA". Lineage: Eukaryota; Viridiplantae; Streptophyta; Magnoliopsida; Poales; Poaceae. The record is from RNAcentral.
AUGGGCCCUGGCCGUCGUCCGACCGCCGCCCAAGUCCUGGCGUCCUUGAUAUGCCUCUACCACGUGCCGCACAGGGCCUUCUCGCUCUCCUUCAGCCUCGACUUCUCUGAUGCCGGUGCUGGUUCGUCGAUCAUUGUCGCCGGUGACGCACUCAUCAGUCCACCAACGCUCCAGCUGACGAAAAACAGCCAGGCGUCGUACCGGUACAAGGUGCCGCUAUGGAACGGCGCCAUCGGCGAGAUGGCUAGCUUCGCCACCGCCUUCUCCUUCCAAAUCACCCCAGAGAAGGACAGCCUGCCGCAGCAGACCGGCGACAGGAGGAUGGCCUUCUUCCUCGGCCAUCUCCCUUCGGCGGACGUCCCGCGCAGCAGCAGCCUCGCUGACGGGACAGGCAACACCCGGAUCGUGGCGGUGGAGUUCGACGCUCUCCUCAACCAUGUCGGCAUCGACAUCAACUCCACGGCGUCCGCGCACACGAAGGCGGCAUGGACGGGCAAGAAACUCACGACGUCCAGUGUCAUGGAGGCCACCGUGGAAUACAACAGCGACUCCAGGAUGCUGGCUGUUGCUCUCCUCAUCGACGGUGCGUUGUACCAGGUCAAUGCAACUGUUAAUCUCCGCAGAAUUCUACCGGAGGAGGUCGCCAUCGGCUUCUCCGCGGUGAAUGGCGGCGCCGCUGGGCUGCACCGGAUACUGUCGUGGUCGUUCAGUUCCAGUCUGCCGGAGUCAAAGCGGUGUCAAACGUUACGACUUAGUGCUGUCUAG